This 313-nucleotide long non-coding RNA is filed under the name Lathyrus oleraceus (garden pea). Its description in RNAcentral is "Pisum sativum (pea) long non-coding RNA (PSAT_LNC032020)". Lineage: Eukaryota; Viridiplantae; Streptophyta; Magnoliopsida; Fabales; Fabaceae. The record is from RNAcentral.
AAAAAUAGAGUGUGGGGAUGAGAAAAGAACUCAUUGAUUAUAUUUUUGUGUUUCACAAGACCUCCGGACCUGUGCCUACGUACCAACAUAAAAAUGAGGGAUCAAAUCCUUGUAGUUCGUGGUAAUAAUUUCAAAAUGGGUGAGUUGCUUUUAAUCAAAAAAUUUAAUAAAAGGGGCACAAAGGGGCCAAAAGUUUGAAUGAAUGUUAGUUCUUUUUGUCUUUUGAAAUUUUAAGUCAUAUACGGUUAAGUUCAUUUACAAGUUUGAUUUAAGAAAAGAGUUUGAAAAUUCAAUGGCAUAAGGCCAAAGUUUC